GCCAGACUCCUACGGGAGGCAGCAGUGGGGGAUAUUGCACAAUGGAGGGAACUCUGAUGCAGCGACGCCGCGUGAGGGAAGAAGGUUUUCGGAUUGUAAACCUCUGUCUUCGGUGACGAAACGAGACGGUAGCCGAGGAGGAAGCCACGGCUAACUACGUGCCAGCAGCCGCGGUAAUACGUAGGUGGCGAGCGUUGUCCGGAUUUACUGGGCGUAAAGGGAGCGUAGGCGGACUUUUAAGUGAGAUGUGAAAUACUCGGGCUCAACUUGAGUGCUGCAUUUCAAACUGGAAGUCUAGAGUGCAGGAGAGGAGAGUGGAAUUCCUAGUGUAGCGGUGAAAUGCGUAGAGAUUAGGAAGAACACCAGUGGCGAAGGCGACUCUCUGGACUGUAACUGACGCUGAGGCUCGAAAGCGUGGGGAGCAAACAGGAUUAGAUACCCUGGUAC
This 447-nucleotide ribosomal RNA is filed under the name uncultured bacterium. Its description in RNAcentral is "bacterial SSU rRNA". It matches the Rfam family "Bacterial small subunit ribosomal RNA", at positions 330 to 793 of the family's 1533-position model. The record is from RNAcentral.